Molecule: unclassified non-coding RNA, 300 nt
Filed under: uncultured Pleosporales
Lineage: Eukaryota; Fungi; Ascomycota; Dothideomycetes; Pleosporales
Description: sequence contains ITS1
Rfam family: 5.8S ribosomal RNA (bases 1-105)
Source: RNAcentral
GAAAUGCGAUAAGUAGUGUGAAUUGCAGAAUUCAGUGAAUCAUCGAAUCUUUGAACGCACAUUGCGCCCCUUGGUAUUCCAUGGGGCAUGCCUGUUCGAGCGUCAUUUGUACCCUCAAGCUCUGCUUGGUGUUGGGUGUUUGUCCUCUCCUUGCGUUUGGACUCGCCUUAAAGCAAUUGGCAGCCAGUGUUUUGGUAUUGAAGCGCAGCACAUUUUGCGAUUCUAGCCGAUAAUACUUGCGUCCAUAAGCCUUUUUUAACUUUUGACCUCGGAUCAGGUAGGGAUACCCGCUGAACUUAA